ACCAAGUUGGUCUUGAGUAAAUUCGCAAUUUUCGCCAUGUACUCCAUGAAAUCCUCCCGAUGGACAUCGAAAAUUCCACUGAAAAAUGUGCGAUCGAACUCAACGGGAAUGUUUUUCGAGAGUUUGUCGUAUUUUUCAAUGAGCUGGGCGUAUUCGUCGAAGGGACGUGGCGGAUCUACUGCCAGAAACUUUUUCACCAAGUCCUCGUCACUCUCAUUGAUUAAUGUCACGUAUUUGUCGAAAUUCUGAAUCUGCAAUUCGGGACCUAUUCUGUGUUCUUGAAUCAAUUCCGUUAUUUGGUUUUUGUACUUGUUCAAGAUGUCGUCGAGGAUCAUUGGCUAUAAAUGUAUCAUAAAUAUCGAUUGUUAACUCUGGUGCGAGAUUAUUGACCGAAGGACAAUACAGGAUGCAUGAAAAUUCAGAGAGGAAGACGUGAUGCGAAUAAAUUAACAAUUAGGCAACCAAUAAUUACAGUGUUUGAACUUUCCGAAAUUUUCGUGCUUCAAACAGAAGAUUUUUCAUAAAUAAUAGUAUCUCAUGAAUUCACAGGUUGUGUAUAAUUGAAUAGAAAUUAAUUUAUACAAGUUUAUUAUGGGGUAAUUGAAAGACCUUGAGAAUUCCUCUGGCGAGAGUAGAUUUGUCAUACAGCUUCCGCUCUAUACGUGGAUAUCCGCAAACAGCUUGAUAGAGAGAUGCCAGCAAUGAGAGAAAUGUAUCCGCGAAUGCUUUGAACGACGGAUCAAAUCCAACGGUUUUACUCCUGACCACCACGUUCACGUUAAAACUGCAUUUCAUGUGCUUAAAUCAGAAAACGAAGAAAUGAAACCAUCAUUCCCUCGAUUUAAUUAUAUUAUUCAAACAGACUUCGUUUCAGUUCAUUCGAGUGCAUCAAACUUUCAUCAAAGUGCUUUUAUAUUUACGUAUACCCCACUGGUUUAUACUCCUUUACUUACGCUUAAUUGUUGCCUAGAUCCUCUAGUCUGCAUAAAAUUAUACAUUUGACAUUUAAUCAUUUCUGAUUAGGUAAGAUUUAUAAUUUAAAUGCAUCAGGUGAUUGUGUACUGAGUUAGUUAAUGAAUAAUCCUUCAUUAUGAUUUUAUUAUUUUUUAGUCAUAAAGUUUUACUCACGGCUACUUUCUCAAGAAACUCCAGGUAAUCCUCCAUCGAAUUAAGGCAUAGACUGCACAGCUGACUCUCCAUGACAAUGGCGAGACAAUUAAAGAACUUGGUGAUUCUAGCUUCAUCGCUAUCACUUGAAGAUGGUGCACGAAACUACUGGAGACAAAAAGGAUCCUGAAGCAGAAAGGAGAAGAGAGGACAGAGGGACGAGAGGAGCUCAUAGGAACUCAGCGAAUAGACUGAAUAAUUAUAAAUACUCAGGAGGACGUGGGGAGGGAUGGUCUGUGUUAGUAGGGACAAGAGAAAAGGAGAGCCAAUGGAGAAAGUGUGAGGUGCAAAAUAAAAUCAAACAAAUAAAUAAAUAAGCAAAUAGCGUACUACCACCAAGUGUCCCAGAGAAUAUCUACACUACCAGAAUAUUAGAAUAUCAGUAAUAAGUUUGGCAUGGAGCUAAUAUUGUUGAAGAAGUCAAUUUUUUUUCUCUGUGCAUUGCAAAAUGUUUGGGACCUCGGUGUAAAAUGAGGCCCAAGGAAACGCUCCAAUGUUUCUCCAUAAAAGUAAGAGAGCGUUGCACCAGAGAAAAAUGGCUAAAGUACUUGGGCAUUCUUAAAAGCCAUAAACACCCUUAAAAUUACCUUUCCUUCCUAGGAUCAUCCAAUAUUGAUGUCGGGGGAGCCAGAACACUCUCUCCAUCUCCAUAAAAUCCGCCUCCCCGAAUUCAUCUCCAGUGGGACACGAAAAUGCUCCAACUCAUCCGCUUUAAUCUGCUGAUGAAAAUUAAAUUUGAAUUUCCCGAGGUAAUUAAUCAGCGUGGCAACUUCACAGCUGACAACGGCUUGCGUCAACUCGGAGUGAAGGAGGAGUUGAAUGAAAAUUACUCGACGAAGGGCUCUUGGAGUUUGAUCUUACCGACUUGGUUUCCAUAGCGGCAUUGUUCAUCGGUUGCCAGGGGUAUGAAUGUAUUUGAAUUGAAUGUGCUUCGGUUAUUCCAGAAUUAACCGCUGUUUGGUGGUUAAUAUCGAUCGAUGGACAUUCAAUUAUUCACGGGAUUAAUUAGCUGGUGGACUUAACCAGGGGUCGUUCAAUAUUAACUUCGUCAACAGCGUUGAUAUGUAGUUAAAGGAAGGAUUUCACUGUCAUGAGCUUUUAAAGACACUGACUAUUGGAGCAAGAUUUGGCAUUAAUUCACGAUUGAUCAUAUAUGCCUCAAAAUUAGUGUCUAAAUUGACUGUUUAUCGCCUGUCCGUCGCCUAGUCACCCAAACAAUGAACUAAAUAUGUAUUAUUCCCUUCACUAGAACGCCUUUUGUUCAUAAUUUUUUUAAUCCGCUUGGAAAGUUCAAUAUUAGAAAGUUUUUGGUUGUCAUAGUAACUCUAAUUCAAUUUUUCAUCAUUAAAAAAUGCAGAAAUAAACAAUAGUUAACUAAAAAAAGUAGUUGUAGGUUCAGGAUAGUAAAUGAAAAUGCAUUAAUUACAUUCAAAUGUUUAUAUUAAUAAAUUUGUAUAUUGUACAUCGAUUUAUACACAAAAAUGUCCACACAGCUUCCAUCAACGUUUUCUCUGCCAUUCGAUUAAUUCUCGUCCCCCGAUUCCAAUUACAUGCAGUGUCAAUACUUGUGAAGGGAUUUGAUAAUUCUCUCCAAUAACAUUGAUUGUCACGUUUACAAUAUGAUAUAACAAUCCUUGAUCCCUUGACUUAAAUCGACACGUAUAAUUAAAAAUUCUCUAAUUUUUUCGCGAUAUAUUUAUCGGUUCAUUCUCUCUCCAUAUGGUCUAGGAAUAUAACGCUUUGUGUAUAAACUAUAUGACAAAUAUUACAGCAAUCGGGGUAAAUACAUAUUUACACACAUACCAUCAUCUUAGCUAUACGUACAGAAUGUUAAUAAAAAUGAGAAAAAAAAGUGCCUAAUUUUCUCGAUUAUUCAGUUCUUUCUCAUUCGCUCGUUUAUUUUUAAACUGUCAUCCAUGGGAUUAUCAUUCAAUAAAUUUGUUUAAAUCACGUAUUUAUGGAAGUAAAUACCGCUGGAGGUAAAGAUUUAUUCGAUUGUGAGAAUAUGUAGGACAAUAGACAAGCAGUGAGCUCCAGUGACCACCGGUGAAUAACUUGAAAUGCCGAAUUAUCGAUUUCCUUGGUCACCCUUUUUAACUCGGUGCUUCACCUGUUUUUUCAUUCUCUCACGUAUAAAGUGGAGCAUUGUAUUUCAUUAUCUCAUGAUCUUUAAUUUUCCCAAAUUUUUAACAAUUUUCCAUGAUUUUUCUACUGUUCUACUGUAUUCCAUUCCACUGUAAACUUCGACGUUUAUGAUUCCGCAUUUUUGCCAUAUUUUUUUCCAAGUACUUUCUUUCGAUUUUUUCAGACAAAAUUCUUCUCCUGACACGUUUCUUCAUGGCCAUCCAUCCAUUUCUUGACCACUUCUCUAUCGAGUCGAUGCGUCACACCGACUCAUACGACUCUGAACGCCUGCUUUUCGAAUUGAUUAUUUCUAAAUCUGUAGAUAGUAUAUUUCGUUACUAAACCGAAAAAAGCUUUUCUCGUUACGAACAUAGGCGCCAGAAAAAUUUUUUCAUGUCGUACAAUGAAGAAUAUUUUUAUGA
Molecule: long non-coding RNA, 3713 nt
Organism: Diachasmimorpha longicaudata
Lineage: Eukaryota; Metazoa; Arthropoda; Insecta; Hymenoptera; Braconidae
Exons: 4
Source: RefSeq, a predicted model, not a curated record